GAUGAACGCUGGCGGCGUGCCUAAUACAUGCAAGUCGAGCGAACGGACGAGAAGCUUGCUUCUCUGAUGUUAGCGGCGGACGGGUGAGUAACACGUGGAUAACCUACCUAUAAGACUGGGAUAACUUCGGGAAACCGGAGCUAAUACCGGAUAAUAUUAUGAACCGCAUGGUUCAAAAGUGAAAGACGGUCUUGCUGUCACUUAUAGAUGGAUCCGCGCUGCAUUAGCUAGUUGGUAAGGUAACGGCUUACCAAGGCAACGAUGCAUAGCCGGCCUGAGAGGGUGAUCGGCCACACUGGAACUGAGACACGGUCCAGACUCCUACGGGAGGCAGCAGUAGGGAAUCUUCCGCAAUGGGCGAAAGCCUGACGGAGCAACGCCGCGUGAGUGAUGAAGGUCUUCGGAUCGUAAAACUCUGUUAUUAGGGAAGAACAUAUGUGUAAGUAACUGUGCACAUCUUGACGGUACCUAAUCAGAAAGCCACGGCUAACUACGUG
RNAcentral lists this ribosomal RNA (497 nucleotides) under uncultured bacterium. RNAcentral's name for it is "partial 16S ribosomal RNA". It matches the Rfam family "Bacterial small subunit ribosomal RNA", at positions 28 to 507 of the family's 1533-position model. The record is from RNAcentral.